GAAGGAGUUAUAUGGUUAUAAAGAAACAUUUCAGAUCACUGAAAAUCUACAAUCUAAUAUUAAACUUACAAGAACAUUUGACCACAUGAUAGAUGUAUCUUAGCAACUUACUAGGUGCACUGUGUAGGUAACGUUACAGUUAGUUAUACUGGGUGGGUUUAUAUUAUUAAAGGGAUACUCCAGGCUCCCACACACAUUAGAUGCACUAUGUAGGUUAGGUUACAGUUAGUUAUACUGGGUGGGUUUAUAUUAUUAAAGGGACACUCCAGGCUCCCACAC
Molecule: non-coding RNA, 279 nt
Organism: Pelobates cultripes (western spadefoot toad)
Lineage: Eukaryota; Metazoa; Chordata; Amphibia; Anura; Pelobatidae
Source: the annotation of a GenBank genome assembly